This 497-nucleotide ribosomal RNA is filed under the name uncultured bacterium. RNAcentral's name for it is "partial 16S ribosomal RNA". It matches the Rfam family "Bacterial small subunit ribosomal RNA", at positions 28 to 507 of the family's 1533-position model. The record is from RNAcentral.
GAUGAACGCUGGCGGCGUGCCUAAUACAUGCAAGUCGAGCGAACGGACGCUAAGCUUGCUUCUCUGAUGUUAGCGGCGGACGGGUGAGUAACACGUGGAUACCCUACCUAUAAUACUGGGAUCACUUCGGAACAGCGGAGAUAAUACCGGAUAAUAUUUUGCACCGCAUGGUUCAAAAGUAAAAGACGGUCUUGCUGUCACUUAUAGCUGGAUCCGCGCUGCAUUAGCUAGUUGGUAAGGUAACGGGCUACCAAGGCAACGAUGCAUAGCCGACCUGAGAGGGUGAUCGGCCACACUGGAACUGAGACACGGUCCAGACUCCUACGAGAGGGAGCAGAAGGGAAUCGUCCGCAAUGGGCGAAAGCCUGACGGAGCAACGCCGAGUGAGUGAUGAAGGUCUUCGGAUCGUAAAACUCUGUUAUUAGGGAAGAACAUAUGUGUAAGUAACUGUGCACAGCUUGACGGUACCGAAUCAGAAAGCAACGGCUAACUACGUG